AAAUCCUGGGGUUCACCCUCGUAGAGCUUUUGAAACUGGGUACCUUGAGUGCGGGAGAAGUACGCGGAAUUCUUGGUGUAGCGGUGAAAUGCAUAGAUAUCAGGCAGAACUCCCGUGGCGAAGGCAGCGUACUGGCCCCCAACUGACGUUGAGGCUCGAAAGCGUGGGUAUCAAACAGGAUUAGAUACCCUGGUAGUCCACGCAGUAAACGAUGAAUGCUAGGUGUCGGGGGGCGAAGGACCUUCUGGGUGCCGCAGCGAAAGCAUUAAGUAUUCCACCUGGGGAGUACGCUGGCAAGAAUGAAACUCAAAGGAAUUGACGGGGACCCGCACAAGCGGAGGAGCAUGUGGUUUAAUUGAAGGAUACGCGAGGACCUUACCAGGUCUGACAUCCAGGAGGCAGUCCUUGAACGGAGGCAGUCAUUCAAUGGUAUCAUAGGCGGUGGGGCCUGGUUGUUGUUAGGUUGGGCUGGGAGGAGUCGGGGUAAGUGCCAGCACGAGGGCCACCCCUUCUUACAGUUACCCUGCAGUGAGGAUGGGCACUCUGUGGGGACUGCCGGAGCCAAUAGGGAGGAAGGUGGGGAUGACGUCAAAUCAUCAUGCCCCUUAUGUCUGGGGCGACACACGUGUUACAAUGGCAGGUACAAAGGGAAGCCACCCGGUGAGGGGGAGCCGACCCCGAAAACCCCUUUCCAUUUGGAAUGGUGUUUGCCACCCGGCUCCCAGGAAGCGGAUUUGGUUGGUAUUGGCCAUCCACCACGGCGCGGUGAAUACGUUCCCGGGCCUUGCACACACCGCCCGUCAAG
RNAcentral lists this ribosomal RNA (805 nucleotides) under uncultured bacterium. Its description in RNAcentral is "bacterial SSU rRNA". It matches the Rfam family "Bacterial small subunit ribosomal RNA", at positions 597 to 1401 of the family's 1533-position model. The record is from RNAcentral.